GGAGAGGUGCCGGAGCGGUCGAACGGGGCGGUCUCGAAAACCGUUGUGGGUGAAAGCCCACCCAGGGUUCGAAUCCCUGUCUCUCCGCCA
This 90-nucleotide transfer RNA is filed under the name Paracoccaceae bacterium. RNAcentral's name for it is "Rhodobacteraceae bacterium (activated sludge metagenome) tRNA-Ser". It matches the Rfam family "tRNA". From Rfam's summary of the family: Transfer RNA (tRNA) molecules are approximately 80 nucleotides in length. Lineage: Bacteria; Pseudomonadati; Pseudomonadota; Alphaproteobacteria; Rhodobacterales; Paracoccaceae. The record is from RNAcentral.